This 137-nucleotide ribosomal RNA is filed under the name uncultured bacterium. Its description in RNAcentral is "partial 16S ribosomal RNA". It matches the Rfam family "Bacterial small subunit ribosomal RNA", at positions 382 to 509 of the family's 1533-position model. The record is from RNAcentral.
CCUGAUGGAGCAACGCCGCGUGGGUGAAGAAGGUCUUCGGAUCGUAAAACCCUGUUGUUAGAAGAAGUAAAGUGCGUGAGAGUAACUGUUCACGUUUCGACGGUAUCUAACCAGAAAGCCACGGCUAACUACGUGCC